RNAcentral lists this ribosomal RNA (496 nucleotides) under uncultured bacterium. RNAcentral's name for it is "partial 16S ribosomal RNA". It matches the Rfam family "Bacterial small subunit ribosomal RNA", at positions 29 to 507 of the family's 1533-position model. The record is from RNAcentral.
AUGAACGCUGGCGGCGUGCCUAAUACAUGCAAGUCGAGCGAACAGACUAGGAGCUUGCUCCUCUGACGUUAGCGGCGGACGGGUGAGUAACACGUGGAUAACCUACCUAUAAGACUGGGAUAACUUCGGGAAACCGGAGCUAAUACCGGAUAAUAUAUUGAACCGCAUGGUUCAAUAGUGAAAGACGGUUUUGCUGUCACUUAUAGAUGGAUCCGCGCCGCAUUAGCUAGUUGGUAAGGUAACGGCUUACCAAGGCAACGAUGCGUAGCCGACCUGAGAGGGUGAUCGGCCACACUGGAACUGAGACACGGUCCAGACUCCUACGGGAGGCAGCAGUAGGGAAUCUUCCGCAAUGGGCGAAAGCCUGACGGAGCAACGCCGCGUGAGUGAUGAAGGUCUUCGGAUCGUAAAACUCUGUUAUUAGGGAAGAGCAAAUGUGUAAGUAACUAUGCACGUCUUGACGGUACCUAAUCAGAAAGCCACGGCUAACUACGUG